RNAcentral lists this ribosomal RNA (555 nucleotides) under Hydropodia subalpina. RNAcentral describes it as "eukaryotic LSU rRNA". It matches the Rfam family "Eukaryotic large subunit ribosomal RNA", at positions 77 to 616 of the family's 3401-position model. Lineage: Eukaryota; Fungi; Basidiomycota; Agaricomycetes; Agaricales; Porotheleaceae. The record is from RNAcentral.
CCCCUAGUAACUGCGAGUGAAGCGGGAAAAGCUCAAAUUUGAAAUCUGGCAGUCCUUGCGGCUGUCCGAGUUGUAAUUUAGAGAAGUGCUACCCGCGCUGGACCGUAUACAAGUCCUCUGGAAUGGGGCGUCAUAGAGGGUGAGAAUCCCGUCUUUGAUACGGACUACCAGUGCUUUGUGGUGCGCUCUCGAAGAGUCGAGUUGUUUGGGAAUGCAGCUCAAAAUGGGUGGUAAAUUCCAUCUAAAGCUAAAUACAGGCGAGAGACCGAUAGCGAACAAGUACCGUGAGGGAAAGAUGAAAAGAACUUUGGAAAGAGAGUUAAACAGUACGUGAAAUUGCUGAAAGGGAAACGCUUGAAGUCAGUCGCGUUGGCCGGGAAUCAACCUUGCUACUACUGCUUGGUGUACUUCCUGGUUGACGGGUCAGCAUCAGUUUCGAUCGUUGGAUAAAGGCCAGGGGAAUGUGGCACCUUCGGGUGUGUUAUAGCCCUUGGUCGUAUACAGCGGUUGGGACUGAGGAACUCAGCACGCCGCAAGGCCAGGUCAUUCUUGACC